RNAcentral lists this non-coding RNA (30 nucleotides) under Rattus norvegicus (Norway rat). The record is from RNAcentral. Lineage: Eukaryota; Metazoa; Chordata; Mammalia; Rodentia; Muridae.
GGAUCAGCAAUUCUGAGUUUGUAGGGACCU